Molecule: small nucleolar RNA, 134 nt
Organism: Nycticebus coucang (slow loris)
Lineage: Eukaryota; Metazoa; Chordata; Mammalia; Primates; Lorisidae
Source: RefSeq, a predicted model, not a curated record
AAAGCAUCUAGAAAUGUUAAUGAUAAUACACUUAUUGGUUUCAAGCAGGAGCCUAAAGAAUUAGCUUUCUAUGGUCUGUUGGCCAUUUCAGAACUUUGGAAAUGUAAUGGUCAAUUCAUUAGAAAGAAACAGCA